UACGGAGGGGGCGAGCGUUGUUCGGAUUUACUGGGCGUAAAGCGUGCGUAGGUGGUUUCCCAAGUUAGAAGUGAAAGCCCAGGGCUUAACCCUGGAAUUGCUUUUAAAACUGGGUCACUAGAAUUUAGGAGAGGUAGAUGGAAUUCCGAGUGUAGAGGUGAAAUUCGUAGAUAUUCGGAGGAACACCAAUGGCGAAAGCAGUCUACUGGACUAACAUUGACACUGAGGCACGAAAGCGUGGGGAGCAAACAGG
RNAcentral lists this ribosomal RNA (253 nucleotides) under uncultured bacterium. RNAcentral describes it as "partial 16S ribosomal RNA". It matches the Rfam family "Bacterial small subunit ribosomal RNA", at positions 524 to 776 of the family's 1533-position model. The record is from RNAcentral.